Molecule: ribosomal RNA, 429 nt
Filed under: uncultured bacterium
Lineage: Bacteria
Description: bacterial SSU rRNA
Rfam family: Bacterial small subunit ribosomal RNA
Source: RNAcentral
UGGGGAAUAUUGGACAAUGGGCGCAAGCCUGAUCCAGCCAUGCCGCGUGUGUGAAGAAGGCCUUCGGGUUGUAAAGCACUUUUGUUGGGGAAGAAAAGCCAUGGGUGAAUACCCUGUGGCCAUGACGGUACCCAAAGAAUAAGCACCGGCUAACUUCGUGCCAGCAGCCGCGGUAAUACGAAGGGUGCAAGCGUUACUCGGAAUUACUGGGCGUAAAGCGUGCGUAGGUGGUCCGUUAAGUCUGAUGUGAAAGCCCUGGGCUCAACCUGGGAACUGCAUUGGAUACUGGCGGACUCGAGUGCGGUAGAGGAUAGCGGAAUUCCCGGUGUAGCAGUGAAAUGCGUAGAUAUCGGGAGGAACAUCUGUGGCGAAGGCGGCUAUCUGGACCAGCACUGACACUGAGGCACGAAAGCGUGGGGAGCAAACAGG